GGGUCCAGCGCCUUCACAAAAGAGAGGUGGUUGUUACCCGUAGUUGGCUUUGAUGAAGUUGUACUCCAUAAGGAUCUCAUACACUCCCAUCACCAGCAC
Molecule: long non-coding RNA, 99 nt
Organism: Sebastes umbrosus (honeycomb rockfish)
Lineage: Eukaryota; Metazoa; Chordata; Actinopteri; Perciformes; Sebastidae
Exons: 3
Source: RefSeq, a predicted model, not a curated record